UGGGGAAUUUUGGACAAUGGGGGAAACCCUGAUCCAGCCAUCCCGCGUGUGCGAUGAAGGCCUUCGGGUUGUAAAGCACUUUUGGCAGGAAAGAAACGUCGCGGGUUAAUACCCCGCGAAACUGACGGUACCUGCAGAAUAAGCACCGGCUAACUACGUGCCAGCAGCCGCGGUAAUACGUAGGGUGCAAGCGUUAAUCGGAAUUACUGGGCGUAAAGCGUGCGCAGGCGGUUCGGAAAGAAAGAUGUGAAAUCCCAGAGCUUAACUUUGGAACUGCAUUUUUAACUACCGGGCUAGAGUGUGUCAGAGGGAGGUGGAAUUCCGCGUGUAGCAGUGAAAUGCGUAGAUAUGCGGAGGAACACCGAUGGCGAAGGCAGCCUCCCGGGAUAACACUGACGCUCAUGCACGAAAGCGUGGGGAGCAAACAGGAUUAGAUACCCUGGUAGUCCACGCCCUAAACGAUGUCAACUAGCUGUUGGGGCCUUCGGGCCUUGGUAGCGCAGCUAACGCGUGAAGUUGACCGCCUGGGGAGUACGGUCGCAAGAUUAAAACUCAAAGGAA
This 561-nucleotide ribosomal RNA is filed under the name uncultured bacterium. RNAcentral's name for it is "partial 16S ribosomal RNA". It matches the Rfam family "Bacterial small subunit ribosomal RNA", at positions 355 to 909 of the family's 1533-position model. The record is from RNAcentral.